UAGAGGUAGUACUGUGUGUUAGUCCCUGAUAGAGGUAGUACUGUGUGUUAGUCCCUGAUAGAGGUAGUACUGUGUGUUAGUCCCUGAUAGAGGUAGCACUGUGUGUUAGUCCCUGAUAGAGGUAGUACUGUGAGUUAGUCCCUGAUAGAGGUAGAACUGUUAGUCCCUGAUAGAGGUAGAACUGUG
Long non-coding RNA from Oncorhynchus keta (chum salmon), 186 nucleotides. RefSeq lists it as uncharacterized. NCBI's taxonomy places the organism in Eukaryota, Metazoa, Chordata, Actinopteri, Salmoniformes, Salmonidae. The transcript is spliced from 4 exons. The record is from RefSeq and is a predicted model, not a curated record.